Molecule: transfer RNA, 74 nt
Filed under: Ascocoryne sarcoides NRRL 50072
Lineage: Eukaryota; Fungi; Ascomycota; Leotiomycetes; Helotiales; Gelatinodiscaceae
Description: tRNA-Val (AAC) (tRNA-Val-AAC-2-1, tRNA-Val-AAC-2-2)
Rfam family: tRNA
About the family: Transfer RNA (tRNA) molecules are approximately 80 nucleotides in length. Their secondary structure includes four short double-helical elements and three loops (D, anti-codon, and T loops).
Source: RNAcentral
GGCCGGGUGGUGUAGUUGGUUAUCACGUUUCGUUAACACCGAAAAGGUCCUGGGAUCGAACCCCAGCUUGGUCA